GCGAGAGAAUCCAAGACCUGCAAUACGACAUCCUGGACCUGAAGAUCUACGUCAGCCCUGAUUACGUCACGAUCAUCCCCUGGACCUGACCCGUGGCAGAGGACGAGGAGGAAAACCAACUCGCCCGCCAUGGCUUGCUCUGAGGACGAACCUUCGACGUUCCUGGUGUUCUAAGUGUCUUUGAAAAAAAAUGUGUUUUUCGGUUUGUUCAGACGAAAAGAUGAGAUGCGUUUGGAUUUUCUGAAGAAAAAAAUAAAAAUAAAGGGAGUAUGAGAAGAGAGAAAAAACUAAAACACAUGAAGAGAAACUUCAGUGAAUCAAAGACCAGCUCUGAAAGGCUAACAGAUGCACGUUUCCCCUUCCCUUUUCACAGGUAAAGGCGACAGCUUUUCAUCUGCCUUUCGAUAGCUGUAUAAAAUAUACUUUUCUGACCAAAGCCACAGAACUAAAAAGGACAGUUAACCUGUUUCUCACGAACGCUUAAGAAAACCGAGGAAACGCGAAUGACACUCGCCUUUGUGUCAACGGUCAUGAUGCGGCUUUUCCUCAGCGAGUGCGACUGACGUUGAAAGGUCGUUUACCUUGCGGACGAGAUCCUAACGACAUCUGGCAACUCAUUAUCGACAGUGUGUCCUGUCUUAAUCAUUUUCAAAAUUUUCUUUGAUAUUUUUAUAAUAUAAAGAAAAUGGGAUCGGAAACAACUUAGCAUUUUCUAUGAAAGGAAAGGAAACAAAAGAAAAUAAAGGAAAUAUAAAGCAAUUAAAAUAUAUAGAUAAAAGGAAGGAGACUACGAAUAAAGGAAAGAAAAAUGCCUACAUGAAAAUGAAGAAAAAUCAGACAGGUUUUAAAAUUAAGGGCGCGGCCAAAUGUCAGAAACACUUUGGCAUUUCGAAGUGAUAUGAUUUCUUGCAGUCCCUAAUGCUCUGUUGUUGGGACAUUUUCAAGAGCAGAUUACAAAAGGGGGAAACCAAAUAUUGAUAAGAAUGUCAAAAUAAGAUUUUAUAUUAUCACGAGAAACAUUUUUUCUCGCCGUUGUACGUUAUCGUGUUAUGGUUUUCAAAGGGACUUAAAUAAUUACUUAACAUAUUAAAAUUAAAUGUAUUUAUUUAUUUAUUUGUCCAUUGAGCUGGUGAACAGAUAUCAGAGACAUAGUGAACCACAGUAGUUAUGUAAUCAGAAUCAUACUGUAAAUCUCGAAAAAAAACACGUAUUUUGAAUUACUCUCAAUGUAACUCCCUUAAAGAAAUGGCAUAACUAUCAUGUUGUAAUCUAUCUGUAUUAUAUAAUGUAAUAGACUAAAGAGUUCCAGAUAUUUUCGUAUGUGCUACAAUAAUGUUGAUAUGGAGCGUCGUGCAUGUUGUAGAUAUAAUGAUAUUUAAGAGAUAUACUGUAUUCGUUGUUUACUCGUUUGUUUGCGUGAGAUGAUCGUGUACUGGUUCUUACUUAUUUGUUCAUGAAUAGCGUUUGUCUCUUUGUGAUAUUCUUGUGACGUUUUCUGUUACCUAAUUGUGUUUAGGAGAGGAGGAAUUGUAAAGCGUGACGUUGAACAGUAGAUCUUCAUAAUUGUACUACAGACUGAAGGAUUAUAAAAAAAAAGGGAAUUAUGACUAAAGUAGAAAAUAAUCCAGGAAGAUUAAUGAAGAAAAAAUAGAGUUUGUGUUUUUCAUCCUUAAAUUAUUAAUUACUUCGUUUGAGAGAAAAUAGAAUUUUGUUUAUAUUUAUGCCUACUUGUCAAAGGUCCAAAAUGUGCUUCUAAAACAAAGAAACUCAGGAUAGAGCUGGCAAAAAAAACAUUGGAAUUCAGAAUAUAGUAUAUUGUUGACAUAAAGAUUACUGUUAUUCUUUUUAACUAUUGUUUUUAUAUGAUAUCACACAGACACACACACCUAAUACGCAAAUAUCACCAUUUUGAAAGCCCAGAGUUAACAAUGCAGCUUAUUUAAAAAAAAAAAAAAAAAAAAAAAAAAUAACAGAAAAAUGAACAAGAGAAAUAUGAAAAGAAAAUGUGAAUUACAUAUAAUCCCACCUGUGGAAGAUUAUACAGGAUAGGUCAGUGUCACACCUUAAUAUAUUAAAACGAUUUUUAUAUACAUUAUACUGACUAUCACAAACCAAUUUUAUCAUUUUAGGCCUCAAUUUUACACCAUAUAAAAUACAUCCUGUUAUCUCUCCUGCUAAUCAUGAAAUACAGAUUUAAGCUGGAUCAGUAUAAUCUGAGGAAAUAUUUAAAUCAUUUAUCCUUUACAUGAUUAUCUUUAUAUAAAUAAAAUGAGGCUUCAUUGUGUAAAUAUAGACAGAGGAUUAUCAUAAAGAUACUUUUGAUAUAUGUCCGAGUGAAGAGUGAUAUGAAAGUGACUAAUUAUCAAUUUUCUUUGUGUAUUUAUCAUAUUUAAAUUAUUUUGUGAUCUUGAUUUAAGCAUUAUAGUAAUAAGUAAUCUUAAGAUAUGUGCAACAUAGUUCGUCUUAUCUCUUUAUUUGCAUAUUAUUUCCCCUUCAUUUUAGACAUAUCAGUAACAGAUAUAUAUAUAUAUAUAAAAUGUCACACAUGUACCUAGAAUGGAUAGAUUAGAAAUUCGUAUAAGACUGAUUAUAUAUAACAAAAAGUUGAAUUACUGAAAAAGAAGAGUUUUCUUACUGUAGUUACAUCUAGUGUUUGUGAUGUGUCACACGGUAUCUCUGAAGAAAUAAAUAUAUAUAUGAGUAACUUUA
Molecule: long non-coding RNA, 2709 nt
Organism: Penaeus chinensis
Lineage: Eukaryota; Metazoa; Arthropoda; Malacostraca; Decapoda; Penaeidae
Exons: 2
Source: RefSeq, a predicted model, not a curated record